This is a long non-coding RNA of Gadus morhua (Atlantic cod), 471 nucleotides long. RefSeq lists it as uncharacterized. Lineage: Eukaryota; Metazoa; Chordata; Actinopteri; Gadiformes; Gadidae. The record is from RefSeq and is a predicted model, not a curated record. The transcript is spliced from 4 exons.
UUGAGCAUGAGGACCGUGUGAAGAGGCCGCUCAUGCUGGCGGCUGCACCCAAAGGCUGUGUGGAAAGCAACGUGAGGUGAUUGUAAAGUAUGUCAACUAAUUCAGGAUAAGAGUGUAACAACAACAAAAUGGAUGCAUGCAGGUCGUAGCCUCACUCAACAAACCGCUACUCACAUCAACUCAUCGCACAGUGGGACCAGGCUGUCAAUCAGGAUCGUAUAAUUCGUCCCUCUCACAGACAAGGAGCCUGGGGAUUGUGAGUUCUUGUCGGGAUGACUGAUGAUAUCUGGUGACGCUCAUCAAUUUAUUUCCGAAGAUAUUCAGUUGAUAAUUCAUCUCAUACAAUGAUGGGUCCCACAGCCCAGUAACCGAUUUAAUUGGAAAGCAUCUGGCCCCCAGCAACCAAUCCUCCUGAAGACACACACACACACACACACACACACACACACACACACACAGACACACACACAC